AACAUCGCCUCUUGACAAAAUAUAAGAGGUCCAGCCUGCCCAGUGACCUAUGUUCAACGGCCGCGGUAUCCUAACCGUGCGAAGGUAGCGUAAUCACUUGUUCUUUAAAUGGGGACUAGUAUGAAUGGCAUCACGAGGGUUAAACUGUCUCCUUUUUCUAAUCAGUGAAACUAAUCUCCCCGUGAAGAAGCGAGGAUUUUUUUAUAAGACGAGAAGACCCUAUGGAGCUUAAAACAAAUUUACACCUGCUUUAAUAUAUCUCCCUUCCUGAACAUUCACACGAAUUAUAGCAUGACUGAUAAAUAGUUUUCGAUUGGGGUGAUCAUGGAGAAAAAACCAACCUCCACGACGAUAAGGGAACAUCCCUGAGCCAAAAGCCACAACUUUAAGCACUAAAAAAUUAACGCAAUUUGACCCAUUACUUGAGCAACGAACCAAGUUACCCUAGGGAUAACAGCGCAAUCCACUUCAAGAGCUCCUAUCGACAAGUGGGCUUACGACCUCGAUGUUGGAUCAGGGUAUCCCAGUGGUGCAGCCGCUACUAAAGGUUCGUUUGUUCAACGAUUAAAACCCUACGUGAU
RNAcentral lists this ribosomal RNA (581 nucleotides) under Boana sp. Clade G. RNAcentral's name for it is "partial large subunit ribosomal RNA". It matches the Rfam family "Bacterial large subunit ribosomal RNA", at positions 1812 to 2604 of the family's 2925-position model. The record is from RNAcentral. Lineage: Eukaryota; Metazoa; Chordata; Amphibia; Anura; Hylidae.